CCAGUGUAGUGAAUGAACAUGUUGAUCUAUAUUAUUAUACUGCUGUCAUCAACUGAAGGUUCCAGAGCCUCAGAAGUCAUCACUCCAAAAAGUGACAGAGAAUUUGCUCUUGAGGGUGACAAUGUGACACUCUCCUGUAACUACAGCGGUUCUGCUCGUGGUGUUCACUGGUAUCGGCAAUAUGCAGGAUCACCACCACAGUUCCUCAUACUGGAAGAUUCAGGGGCAACAAUUCAAGCUAAUCCACCCAUUCCAGGAAUAAGCAUCAAUCACAGAAAAACAGAAAUCCAUGUGGAUCUGAUCAUCUCCUCUGCUAAAGUGUCAGACUCUGCUCUGUACUACUGUGCUCUGCAGCCCACAGUCACAGGAAACCCUAUAACACUCUACACUGGUUCUGUUCGAGGUCUUCACUGGUCUCAUCAAUACUCAGGUUCACCACCAAAGUUCCUCAUAAUGGAUUAUUAUGGGGUAGUUACUGAAGCUGAUCCUCCAGUUGCUGGAGUCUCAAUCUAUCACAGAAAAGACAACAGUAGUGUGGAUCUGAAGAUCUCCUCUGCUGCUGUCACUGACUCCGCUCUCUACUACUGUGCUUUGGAGCCCACAGUGAAAGGAAAUCUACUGCAUGUUGUACAAAAUGCUCUUUAA
Sinocyclocheilus rhinocerous is the source of this 645-nucleotide non-coding RNA. The record is from the annotation of a RefSeq genome assembly. NCBI's taxonomy places the organism in Eukaryota, Metazoa, Chordata, Actinopteri, Cypriniformes, Cyprinidae.